Molecule: long non-coding RNA, 751 nt
Filed under: Rattus norvegicus (Norway rat)
Lineage: Eukaryota; Metazoa; Chordata; Mammalia; Rodentia; Muridae
Description: long non-coding RNA NONRATT032473
Source: RNAcentral
UAUAAUUGGAAUAUUUAAAUUUGGGUCAUAUCCUACCUAUCUUAGGAAACGAACAAAAGAAUUCUACAGAGUUGUUUUAUACCGCAAAUAAAUAAUACCCCCUUCUCUAUAUUCUUUCCUGUUUGCAUUGGGUGGGGAUAUUAUUAGAAGAUGAGGCUGGUUUGGCUUAAAAAAUCAAGUAUCACUAAAAUUGUGCUUCCAGAUCCAAAACAGAGCUCUCAGGCGCUCAACGUUCUGUGGACCUUGCUUCCUCCAGAGGUGGCUGGGGACAGGUGCACCGAUCCACCAUGAACCAGAUUCAGGGAAAAAAAAAACCCACUGUUAGUUCUGCUGUUUGUACAAGACUGCGUUUGAUGGACCGAAGUGUGGUAAGCUGCCAAAGGUCUUACUUCAGACAUCCUCAUUGCCGUGACAGAGCUGUCAGUCAUGAUGGCUGGUUUCCUUCUUCACACAGUUUGGCCAAGACUUGUGUAACAUGCCUGGGCACAGUGGUUCUCCAAAGGAAGAUGCACAGGGUCCAGGCUUAAUUGGGCACUUAUUGCAGACUAUCUCAGUUGGAGGUAAAAAGCUACUCUUUUUUUCCCCCUUAGUUCGAAAACAUUAAGCAUUUGUCUGGAGUUGCUAGGAGCUAUUUUCUCUGAUAUAUGGAGAAAAAUUCUCUGACGUAAAAUAGAAGGAUAUUAAAAUAGAUACAGUGGAAAUGAAGUGCAAAGAGGAGAGAAAGAAUGGAGUUGUUGGGGAUUCAUCUAUG